GCAUGGCUGAAUACUGUGUUCUCAUCAGUAGUUUACACAGCCAGACACCAUGCUAAAGAAAAGGCUUCCCUUUAAAAGGACUGUGAUGAUACACUGUUUUUUUCACAGUGUAUCAGUAUUAAAGUGACUACAAAU
Molecule: small nucleolar RNA, 135 nt
Organism: Heterocephalus glaber (naked mole-rat)
Lineage: Eukaryota; Metazoa; Chordata; Mammalia; Rodentia; Bathyergidae
Source: Ensembl